AUAUAACAAAUUCACUACAAAUGAGUUGGGUAGAACAAUGUUAGAUAAU
This 49-nucleotide non-coding RNA is filed under the name Trypanosoma lewisi. Lineage: Eukaryota; Euglenozoa; Kinetoplastea; Trypanosomatida; Trypanosomatidae. The record is from RNAcentral.